UGCUAGGCACUCCCUCAAAAUGUGUUUUCCUUUGCAGCAAGAUCUGCACGGCUCUCCCUGGCUUGUUUGCAAUCAAAGCUUCCCUGUGAAUACUGAGCACCGGCCUCAUGAUGCRGCCCAAACAAGUGAUACUCCAGAUGCAACCCAGAACAGUUCUGGUGUGACAUGAAAGCAGCUCCACUCUGCAGCAGUACAAAGAUGGAGAGCCUGGAUCACGCUGGGACAACUUGCCCCAGGCCCCAAAGCAGGAGGAGCAGUCCCUGUGGAGACCGUCAGUCGAGCGGUACCCAGAGUUCGCCACCGGACCGUGCUCCUUUGCUCUCCAGGGGUUGCGAGUUCAGCUGGAAACCGCAGUGCUUCUGGAUGACGUUUUCCUCUCCUCCCAGUGAAUCAGCCUUUUAUUUACUCUUUGGAAUGCAAAGUAACAGGACACCCUGUGAGUUUUAUCUCUCUCUCUCAAUCUUUUGUAUCCCUGGCUGAGUUGCCCGACCGGAUUGAACGUUUCAGCUGCAGGCAUAGAUGGGGUGGUUUCAGGGCUGUCUGGCAGGAAUCUGGGUGGGAGGGCACUGCCAGUGAAAUUUGAAUUUAGGAGUCUCACUGAGAACCGAAUCCUUGAGACAUACGGCAGUGAAGAAAACGCUUUGUCACUGACUGUUUGAAUCCAGCCCUUCGCUGCUGUGGCUGUGUGGAUGGAUAGUGCUCGUUUGUGGAGCUAGAAUUACYGGGAACUGCCUCCGCCAGAAGACGUUUGCCCCUGCAGGCAGCCUGCCUUCCCUGCUUGUGUAAGCGGCUGCUUUUCCCCCUCUUUUCACUGCACAGCAUUUCCAGGGCUGGGAGCYGAUGCAGAAGUAGUCUGCCUGUUCAGGUGGCGAUUGCUGCUCCAGCAGCUAAUUCCUGUCUCCUUUGCGCCUCUUGUGUGGGUCGAACUCGCCCUGGUUUAGCUCUUGCAACUUGAAUACAGUUAUAACAAAGAUGGACGUGGUUCUCAGAGUUUAAAUGGAGCCUAAAGCAAGUGAUUUCCUUCCUCCUAAAGGUGUGUUAAGCCUCAUCGAGCUGCUGCCAGAACACCGUUGUGGCCACACUGAUAUAAAAAGACAAGCUGAGGCGGAAGAGGUGACAGCUUUUAUUUAAUGAACCGAUAUAGGUGAGAAGAAACCGAGGUUUUGUUUGUUGCUGAUUACUGCCACUGCAUGUGGGUAAGUUAUUUGAUCUUUCUGCUUCAGUUACAUCCUUCUUCAUACUGGAGACAGUGACUUGGCUGGGUUUGGCAGCCAUCAGUCAAACUAGAGACCCGUGCAAGUAUCUGUCACUGCAAAAGCACGUGACAGACUCUUUAUUGAGAGCUGCCGCUUCGAUGAUCUGGGUCUGUACAGUGCCCAGAAAAAGGGGGCCCCGAGCUACCACGAUGACUUAGCCRUUACUGCAGCACAGGCACUAAAUAAAUCAUCGCUUUAGCAGCUAAGAAACA
RNAcentral lists this long non-coding RNA (1468 nucleotides) under Dromaius novaehollandiae (emu). RNAcentral's name for it is "lncRNA (ENSDNVG00000012287.1)". Lineage: Eukaryota; Metazoa; Chordata; Aves; Casuariiformes; Dromaiidae. The record is from RNAcentral.